This 253-nucleotide ribosomal RNA is filed under the name uncultured bacterium. RNAcentral's name for it is "partial 16S ribosomal RNA". It matches the Rfam family "Bacterial small subunit ribosomal RNA", at positions 524 to 776 of the family's 1533-position model. The record is from RNAcentral.
UACGGAGGGUGCAAGCGUUAUCCGGAUUUACUGGGUUUAAAGGGUGCGUAGGCGGGCCUUUAAGUCAGUGGUGAAAUCCCCGGGCCUAACCCGGGAACUGCCAUUGAUACUAUUGGUCUUGAAUUCAGUUGAGGUGGGCGGAAUGUGUCGUGUAGCGGUGAAAUGCUUAGAUAUGACACAGAACACCGAUUGCGAAGGCAGCUCGCUAAACUGACAUUGACGCUGAGGCACGAAAGCGUGGGGAUCAAACAGG